CUCCUCCCUCUUUCACCCCCACGACACAAACGCGUGCCGCCACCAUACUCGUGGAACUAUCAGAGGAGGAACGGAUCCAGCCGAGGCGCCACGAGGGGAUCGGCGAGGGGACGCGCUCCAGCCGAGGCCCCACAAGAGGAUCGCCCAUCUCUCCUGCCUCUUGUCACUAGCGACCUCAACCUUGGGCGGAUCUAAGGUCCGCCGCCGCCACCGGCUCACAGAUCGAGGUCUUAUUCAGGACUCGGAACAACGGGCAAGACUCUGCUCAGUUCUUUUCUAAGUAGUAAUGCGAGGAUGAUGAUGAGUUCUGCAUGAAACAAGGCUAAUUGGUGUUCAACACGGUUUUGGUCAAAUGAUUCGGGCGAAUAUUGAGGCUGGUUCUCAUAUUUUGGUUCAGGGAAUUUUUCAAACUACAAGGGCUACUAGCCAGUUCACCUGGUAUACAAGAUAAAAUCUGGGAUGUAUGUACAAGAUCAAGAUUGAAGCUUUUUGUAGUACUGGUACAAGAUGGAAGACUCCUCCGCUUUACCUAUCUUCUCGCAAGCACUGUGAUGAAACCCUAUCCAUGCUCUAGCGGCGCUGCCGCCCUUGCAAUGCGCGUCUGCACCAUUGCAGUAGCCGUAGCCGGUGAUCCCAAGAUUAACAAGUACUAGCAUUCCUGCAAUGAUUAGAUUUUCGUUAGGGGGCUGACAACCUCUCUUUCUUAUCUUCAUUCAGUGGUUGAAAGAUUGUCUACCAAAUAUGUGCUGCAAUGAUUAUCUUCAUUCAGUGGUUGAAAGAUUGUCUUACCAAUGAUUAGAAACUGUUCAGACGCAAGAAACACUCCGGCGCCGCGGCCGACAGUGACAACUUCGGCGGCCUCUUCUCCGCCGACCAGCUCGUCCUCGACUUCCCCAGCUUCAGCGACUUCGAUGGGUUCCAGAAGGCGACCGAGGAGAUGGUGAACAACAAGAAGGGGUCGACCACGCUCUCCUCCAUCUUCGAAAAAGGCGUCAUCGUCGCCGCCGACUCCUGGGCCAGCAUGGGCGGAUACAUAUGUAAUCCUGCAUCUAUUUUCCAUGGCAUCAUAUAAGACUUGUAUUAUAGUAUUUUCAGUAUACACAUCCUGCAUAAACUGUUUAGUGGGAAUGCUUUCUUCAAAUUCUCUGGCAAGGUGCUUCACACAUAGAUAGAAUGCUUAUCAUUAGUUGGUGGUUCAGUUAGUUUAAAGGUGAAUGGUGUAUAAGAAGCUCGCUUGCUGGUUGGUAAAUGGUAAUUUUAUUCUUCCAGUAAGAUAUCUUUGACAACUGUCAUAUUCUGUUCGGUGCUUACACAUGUAAGAGGUAGCAAUGUUUCUUGUAUUAUAUUAUUUGCACUAUACACAUCCUGUAUAAACUGUUUAAUGGGAAUGCUUUCUCCAAAUUAUCUGGCAAGCUCCUUCACACAUAGACAGCAUGCUUUUUAGUUUGUGCUUCAGUUAGUUGAAAUGUGAAUGCUGUAUAAGAAGCCCGGUUAGUGCUUGCUACAGAGUAAUUUUAUUUAUCCCAGUAAGAGAUCUUUCAAAUAUAUCAAAUUUUGUUUGGUACUUACAUAUGUAAAAUACGGCAAUGUUAGCCAUGUGAAUUCAAAAAUAUUUGCACACCAUACGACAAGGUGAACUAACUUGGAUCUUUUUGUAUGAUCUGAUUAGUCUGUACUACUUUGCGUCAUCUAUAUAUAUGUGUGUGUGUGUGUGCGUGUGUGUGUGUGUGUGUGUGUGUGUAACAAGAUGUGCUCUUCACUUGUAUUGUAUACAUCUUGAUCUAACGUUAUUGGACUCAAUUCAGCUAUAAUUAAUUUCUGGAGAUGGACCUGGAUCUAGAUGACAGGAUUGUACAUAAAUCGCCUUCAUGCAACCAACAGCAGUAGUGUUGUCAAGAUGAGGCGGUUGAAGAGGAGAUGGGAAUGACAAACCUGUUCUGCUUCCUUGAGAACCAAACGAUUUGCCUAGAGAAGACGGAAUCAACGAUUGCUUUGUGAUGUGCAAGGUUCAACGCUAAUUUUGGGCAGGACAGGGACAUCCACAGCCACGCAUACAUUUCUGCUUCCUUUCUGUUCCAGAAAACAAGUGGUCAUUACAUAAAAACUUUGAAAGAAGGUUUUACUCAUCAGUUACAAAUACGUAGUCAAGAAUGAAAACUGAAAAGCCAUAAGCUCUUUAUUAUUGGCCGCGUAUUAAUAAGCAUAUAAUAAUCAUUAACUUGCCUCUUGACAUAACUUCUAUGGCAAGAAUUAAGACGACA
Long non-coding RNA from Triticum aestivum (bread wheat), 2261 nucleotides. RefSeq lists it as uncharacterized. Lineage: Eukaryota; Viridiplantae; Streptophyta; Magnoliopsida; Poales; Poaceae. The record is from RefSeq and is a predicted model, not a curated record. The transcript is spliced from 6 exons.